Molecule: non-coding RNA, 293 nt
Organism: Pelobates cultripes (western spadefoot toad)
Lineage: Eukaryota; Metazoa; Chordata; Amphibia; Anura; Pelobatidae
Source: the annotation of a GenBank genome assembly
CAGGCUUGUAUGGUGAGGGGGGUUCCGGGAGACCCUCAGCCGUUACAUCUGCCGAGUCUUCCCUCUCUUGGCCUGUUACCACAGCAGCACUCCAGUACCAGGCUUGUGAGAAAAGCUUGCACAUGGUGGAGGUGAAGGCUGACAGUGUUUAAGAAACACUGGACCAUCAGGGAAUGUUAUGUACCCCUCCUAGGCCAAACUAGGAAGUAGGGAGGCGGAAUAACCAUUACUAAAACAAAAACAUAUUAAUAAAAAUGAAAACUGCUAAUUUUUCACACACACACACACACACA